Molecule: ribosomal RNA, 326 nt
Filed under: uncultured Streptococcus sp.
Lineage: Bacteria; Bacillati; Bacillota; Bacilli; Lactobacillales; Streptococcaceae
Description: bacterial SSU rRNA
Rfam family: Bacterial small subunit ribosomal RNA
Source: RNAcentral
GUCAGCUCGUGUCGUGAGAUGUUGGUUAAGUCCCGCAACGAGCGCAACCCCUAUUGUUAGUUGCCAUCAUUCAGUUGGGCACUCUAGCGAGACUGCCGGUAAUAAACCGGAGGAAGGUGGGGAUGACGUCAAAUCAUCAUGCCCCUUAUGACCUGGGCUACACACGUGCUACAAUGGUUGGUACAACGAGUUGCGAGUCGGUGACGGCGAGCUAAUCUCUUAAAGCCAAUCUCAGUUCGGAUUGUAGGCUGCAACUCGCCUACAUGAAGUCGGAAUCGCUAGUAAUCGCGGAUCAGCACGCCGCGGUGAAUACGUUCCCGGGCCUU